This 253-nucleotide ribosomal RNA is filed under the name uncultured bacterium. RNAcentral describes it as "partial 16S ribosomal RNA". It matches the Rfam family "Bacterial small subunit ribosomal RNA", at positions 524 to 776 of the family's 1533-position model. The record is from RNAcentral.
UACGUAUGGUGCAAGCGUUAUCCGGAUUUACUGGGUGUAAAGGGAGCGCAGGCGGCACGGCAAGCCUGAUGUGAAAGCCCGCGGCCCAACCGCGGGACUGCAUUGGGAACUACCGGGCUGGAGUGCCGGAGAGGUAGGCGGAAUUCCUAGUGUAGCGGUGAAAUGCGUAGAUAUUAGGAGGAACACCAGUGGCGAAGGCGGCCUACUGGACGGUGACUGACGCUGAGGCGCGAAAGCGUGGGGAGCAAACAGG